UAAUGAAUGGAACUGACUUUG
This 21-nucleotide non-coding RNA is filed under the name Mus musculus (house mouse). The record is from RNAcentral. Lineage: Eukaryota; Metazoa; Chordata; Mammalia; Rodentia; Muridae.